This 253-nucleotide ribosomal RNA is filed under the name uncultured bacterium. RNAcentral describes it as "partial 16S ribosomal RNA". It matches the Rfam family "Bacterial small subunit ribosomal RNA", at positions 524 to 776 of the family's 1533-position model. The record is from RNAcentral.
UACGUAGGUGACAAGCGUUGUCCGGAUUUACUGGGCGUAAAGAGCGCGCAGGCGGUCGAUCAAGUCGAGUGUGAAAGCCCCCGGCUCAACUGGGGAGGGUCAUUCGAUACUGAUCGACUCGAAGGCAGGAGAGGGUAGUGGAAUUCCCGGUGUAGUGGUGAAAUGCGUAGAUAUCUGGAGGAACAUCAGUGGCGAAGGCGACACCCUGGACUCAUACUGACACUGAGGUGCGAAAGCGUGGGGAGCAAACAGG